RNAcentral lists this ribosomal RNA (407 nucleotides) under uncultured bacterium. RNAcentral's name for it is "partial 16S ribosomal RNA". It matches the Rfam family "Bacterial small subunit ribosomal RNA", at positions 30 to 526 of the family's 1533-position model. The record is from RNAcentral.
AUUGAACGCUAGCGGGAUGCCUUACACAUGCAAGUCGAACGGAGUGGCGAACGGGUGCGUAAUGUAUAGGACCGUGCACAGUAGCGGGGGAUAACUACGCGAACGCGUAGCUAAAACCGCAUACUAUUGGAGCGGCCGAUAUCGGAUUAGCUAGUUCGUGGGGUAACGGCUCAGCAAGGCGAUGAUCCGUAGCUGGUUUGAGAGGAAGACCAGCCACACUGGGACUGAGACACGGCCCAGACUCAUACGGGAGGCAGCAGUGGGGAAUUUGGGACAAUGGGGGAAACCCUGAUCCAGCCAUCCCGCGUGUGCGAGGAAGGCCUUCGGGUUGUAAAGCACUUUUGGCAGGAAAGCGGUACCUGCAGAAGAAGCACCGGCUAACUACGUGCCAGCAGCCGCGGUAAUUC